This 449-nucleotide ribosomal RNA is filed under the name uncultured bacterium. Its description in RNAcentral is "bacterial SSU rRNA". It matches the Rfam family "Bacterial small subunit ribosomal RNA", at positions 355 to 825 of the family's 1533-position model. The record is from RNAcentral.
CGAGGAAUUUUCUGCAAUGGGCGAAAGCCUGACAGAGCAAUACCGCGUGAGGGAUGAAGGCCUAUGGGUUGUAAACCUCUUUUCUCAAGGAGGAAGAUAUGACGUUACUUGAGGAAUAAGCAUCGGCUAACCCUGUGCCAGCAGCCGCGGUAAUACAGGGGAUGCAAGUGUUAUCCGGAAUCAUUGGGCGUAAAGCGUCUGCAGGUUGACUUUUAAGUCUUUUGUUAAAGCUCUGGGCUUAACCUAGAAUAUGCAAAGGAAACUAUUUGUCUUGAGUAUGGUAGAGGUAAAGGGAAUUUCCAGUGGAGCGGUGAAAUGCUUAGAUAUUGGAAAGAACACCAACAGCGAAGGCACUUUACUGGGCCAGUACUGACACUGAGAGACGAAAGCUAGGGGAGCAAACGGGAUUAGAUACCCUCGUAGUCCCUGAGCGGGCUGGCAAGGCGCAU